UGUGGUUCCAGAUUCAGCUCCUCAUGUGCCAGGAAGAAUGUGGAAUCUUGACUGGAGUUGCGUUGAAUCUGCAGAUCUGCCAACCCCGUGGAGGCUCUGACCCAUGCGUAUGUGCUGCCUUGAUCCCUGGGUCAUCUUCAACCUCUCUCAGAUCGUCAGGCUGGUGGCGUCCACGGCCUCAACUUUACCUCCGUGAUGGAAGAGGGGGACCUGAGGCUCCCAGGUUGCGUGAGAAGAGGAGGCAGGCCAGCUCCGGUCUGAAGCUGUGGUUUGCCCACCACUGGCACAGACCCAUGAGGCUUUCUUAGAGCUGCCAUGCCCAUCCUGGCUGAUGGGACCUCCUACCUCAGGGGCUCUGAGUCCAGCUGCCAGGAAGCUCAUCUUAGUGACCCACAGCCCCUGCUCACCUGCCUGGUGUCACUGGGGCUGAGAGCGAAACCUGCAGGCAUAACUGGCCCUGAUGGAUACACAGUAAGUGUAGAUGUGUUUGGGAUGAGGAAGAUGGGGGGUCCACAGCAACGACCCCCCGUACUCCCUUCUGUCCUGGGAGGAGGUUCGU
This is a long non-coding RNA of Pongo pygmaeus (Bornean orangutan), 559 nucleotides long. RefSeq lists it as uncharacterized. The transcript has 3 exons. The record is from RefSeq and is a predicted model, not a curated record. NCBI's taxonomy places the organism in Eukaryota, Metazoa, Chordata, Mammalia, Primates, Hominidae.